ACGACUGCUAAUACUCUAUACUCCUGCUUAACACAAGUUGAGUAGGGAAAGUUUUUCGGUGUAGGAUGAGACUAUAUAGUAUCAGCUAGUUGGUAAGGUAAUGGCUUACCAAGGCUAUGACGCUUAACUGGUCUGAGAGGAUGAUCAGUCACACUGGAACUGAGACACGGUCCAGACUCCUACGGGAGGCAGCAGUAGGGAAUAUUGCGCAAUGGGGGAAACCCUGACGCAGCAACGCCGCGUGGAGGAUGACACUUUUCGGAGCGUAAACUCCUUUUCUUAGGGAAGAAUUCUGACGGUACCUAAGGAAUAAGCACCGGCUAACUCCGUGCCAGCAGCCGCGGUAAUACGGAGGGUGCAAGCGUUACUCGGAAUCACUGGGCGUAAAGGGCGCGUAGGCGGAUUAUCAAGUCUCUUGUGAAAUCUAAUGGCUUAACCAUUAAACUGCUUGGGAAACUGAUAGUCUAGAGUGAGGGAGAGGCAGAUGGAAUUGGUGGUGUAGGGGUAAAAUCCGUAGAUAUCACCAAGAAUACCCAUUGCGAAGGCGAUCUGCUGGAACUCAACUGACGCUAAGGCGCGAAAGCGUGGGGAGCAAACAGGAUUAGAUACCCUGGUAGUCCACGCCCUAAACGAUGUACACUAGUUGUUGGGGUGCUAGUCAUCUCAGUAAUGCAGCUAACGCAUUAAGUGUACCGCCUGGGGAGUACGGUCGCAAGAUUAAAACUCAAAGGAAUAGACGGGGACCCGCACAAGCGGUGGAGCAUGUGGUUUAAUUCGAAGAUACGCGAAGAACCUUACCUGGGCUUGAUAUCCUAAGAACCUUAUAGAGAUAUGAGGGUGCUAGCUUGCUAGAACUUAGAGACAGGUGCUGCACGGCUGUCGUCAGCUCGUGUCGUGAGAUGUUGGGUUAAGUCCCGCAACGAGCGCAACCCACGUAUUUAGUUGCUAACGGUUCGGCCGAGCACUCUAAAUAGACUGCCUUCGUAAGGAGGAGGAAGGUGUGGACGACGUCAAGUCAUCAUGGCCCUUAUGCCCAGGGCGACACACGUGCUACAAUGGCAUAUACAAUGAGACGCAAUACCGCGAGGUGGAGCAAAUCUAUAAAAUAUGUCCCAGUUCGGAUUGUUCUCUGCAACUCGAGAGCAUGAAGCCGGAAUCGCUAGUAAUCGUAGAUCAGCCAUGCUACGGUGAAUACGUUCCCGGGUCUUGUACUCACCGCCCGUCACACCAUGGGAGUUGAUUUCACUCGAAGCCGGAAUACUAAACUAGUUACCGUCCACAGUGGAAUCAGCGACUGGGGUGAAGUCGUAACAAGGUAACCGUAGGAGAACCUGCGGUUGGAUCACCUCCUUUCUA
RNAcentral lists this ribosomal RNA (1356 nucleotides) under Campylobacter jejuni. RNAcentral describes it as "bacterial SSU rRNA". It matches the Rfam family "Bacterial small subunit ribosomal RNA", at positions 156 to 1533 of the family's 1533-position model. Lineage: Bacteria; Pseudomonadati; Campylobacterota; Epsilonproteobacteria; Campylobacterales; Campylobacteraceae. The record is from RNAcentral.